GUAGGUGAACCUGCGGAAGGAUCAAUUUUGUAUGUUGAGAGGAGUUGUGAUUCGUACAUUAUAGAGAGGGAGGGGACGCAAGUCUUUCUCGAAUCUCAAAGGUGGUGUUUGGCUAUACAUGUUAAUAUGACGACGAGAGUGUAUCCCAGUGCUUUAGCACUAAACAAUAACAACAUACAUAACUGUUGGCAAUGGAUCACUUGGUUCUCGCAUCGAUGAAGAACGCAGCAUCUGACUGACUCGGGCAUAA
This 250-nucleotide unclassified non-coding RNA is filed under the name plant metagenome. RNAcentral describes it as "partial contains small subunit ribosomal RNA, internal transcribed spacer 1, and 5.8S ribosomal RNA". The record is from RNAcentral.